Molecule: long non-coding RNA, 9037 nt
Organism: Eriocheir sinensis (Chinese mitten crab)
Lineage: Eukaryota; Metazoa; Arthropoda; Malacostraca; Decapoda; Varunidae
Exons: 3
Source: RefSeq, a predicted model, not a curated record
CAUAUUGUGCAUUCACUCGACAAGGAGCGGCAGGCAGACGUGGACAACGAGACUUCGAGCAUCAUCUCUAUAUUUUUUUUUUAUUUGUUUUACGAGUUUGCUUCUCUAGUGAAUCAGUUGUCAAAUCUAAAUUCAAGACUCUAGAAUAAGUGAAGUGUAUCAAAGAAUCUCCGUUAAUAAAGUGCAAACCAGUGAAUCUCAAGACCGUGUAUUAGUUAAAGAUUUCCCUUUUACAGCCGAGGGCCAGAUAUGUCUUCGGUGUUCGCCCGUGUCCUUGGGUGUUCGCCCGUGUCCUGAGGUGCAGCUUAUCGUCCCACCAACAUACGCAUUCCUGACCACACAACACUCGGGCGUUUCACCAGUGCAUUCCUCUUGUAUCACGGUGUUUGUUGUGGAAUGAGUGAAUUAUAUAUAUUCUUGUGGCAGAUGUCUUACAGAAUUUUCUUCACAGUAUAGGUUCUCGUACCCUGUGCACUCUUGUUACAGCUUUCGUGAGCGGUAUGGUGGUGGAAUGCUGGUCACCCAAUCAACCUGUUAGUGAUCAUCCCCCGGUCGUGUGGUCAGGUGUUCCCCUCCCCUCCCCCCGCGCUGACCACUCUACACUUGGUUACUCGUUUGUUUUACAUUUAAAAUCUUGGUUAAAUGUUUCUAAGUUUUCAACAUGGUCGUUGGCUAUCAUGCUAUCAUUGGCAAUUGUAUGCUAAAUAUCUGUUGCCAGUCAUCACCAUUAUCAUCUUACACUCUCUCUCACUCCAUGGGCUGUUACCGUCCUGCCCGGGAGGUCUUGCCGGAGUCUACAUAGCAAUGGAAGUCCACUGCGGGUUCUUCCAUCGGCUGGGUUGAGGUAUGGUCGGUAUACUGCUAACACUUAAAACAUUUUUCCUUCCAUCUCAUUCAUUGUUGUUAAGUCUAAACCAUUAUUUUUCCUUUCAUCUCGUUCUUUACAGUUCAUGACUUGUCAUUUAAAAAAAAAAAUUGUAAACCUUAAAUUUGGUGCAUGUUACAAAGUAGAUGUUGCAUAGGCAUAGGACCUAGGUAGGGCCCAGUAAUUAGUAUUUUCAGUCCGCCCCGUUGCGCAUGGUGAUCGGUGUGGAAUUGGUAGCACGUCGAAUACCGCCCAAGAAUUGAACGACAUUGAAUGGCUAGAGGUGAGCAGUGGCUGGGCUACUUUCCCACGGUUAUGGUAGAUUUUACAUGACAAGGUGAGCAGUGACUGGGCUUCGUUCCCCUAGUAAUUCAUUUAUGUGUAGAAAUACAUAAUUUAUCAAGUCCUCCUUUGGUCGUAUACAAUGAACUGUACUUGCGGGAAGUGCCCCAGUAUUCAGGUGGAUUGCAAAGACAUUUUACCUUGAGCUGGGCAAGUGAUCCUUUUCUUUUAUACGAGCAGGAUAUGUUGAGUGCGGAGGGUCUUGAAUGUAUAUCUGUUAGGGCAAAUGUAGUUUAGGGAUGGGGAAAUAAUGGUUCUUACAGACCCCUGAGGAUUUCUUUGACAACAUGAGUACUGCCCAAGAAUUGACGGGGAGUUGGAUGGCUUAGAAGUGAGCAGUGGCUGGGCUUCGUUCCCAGAGUUACGGUAGAUUUUACACAAGGUGAGCAGUGAUUGGGCUUCGUUCCCUUAGUAUGUUAUUUAUCUGUGUAGAAAUACAACUUAUCAAGCCUUUAGUUGUGUAUGUUGUUUACUAAACUAGGCAUGCAGGAAUUGCCCCAGUAUUGUUGAAUUGCAAAGCCUUUUUAGCUAAAGCUGGGCAAGUGACAAUUCUUAUUUACAAGCAGGAUAUACUGGGUGUGGAGGGUCUUGAAUGUAUAUCUUCAUUAGGGCUAAUGUAGUUUAGGGAUGGGGAAAUAAUGGUUCUUGCAGACCCCAGAGGAUUACUUUGGCACCUCGAAUACUGCCCAAGAAAUGACGGGAGUUGAAUGGCUAGAGGUGAGCAGUGGCUGGGCCUCGUUCCCACGGUCACGGUAGAUUUUACAUGACAAGGUGAGCAGUGACUGGGCCUCGUACCCAUGUUAUGUUAUUUACAUGUCAUGCCGAAAAAGUAUCGAACCUUAAUUUAAUUAUGUAUGUUGAACUAGGCUUGCAGGAAGUCCCAAUUUUUUUAGUUCAGUUGCAAAGCCUUUUAAACUGACGCUUAUAAUUCUCAAGCAUGAUAUAUUGGGUGUGGAGGGUUUUUGAAGGCUAUUUACUAGGGUAAAUAUUAUUUAGGGAUGGGCUCUUGCAGACCCCUGAGAAUGGAUGGGAUUUGAGAUGGUGAAAUCCAACUAUUGUAUUUGUGGGAGAUUUGGCUGAGUAUGGUCGGAGGUGGAUGUAUUGACUCUCGUCAACCAAAAGGUAUUAAGGUGUGAUGCAACUUUCAGAAAUUUGCCUAUGAGAAAAGGAUGGAGGUGAAUAAGUGGUAAUUAACACUAGGUGCAGUUGUUUAGUCAGGUUGCAUUGGAACAGGCAAAAUUAGCCCAGCAUGUGUUGGAUAAACAAAGUUUAUUUGACUAAAUCUGGUGCACGGAUCUGCUAUAUGAUUUUAAAAUUACACUUAGGCAAACUAAGCAAUUUUAUGAAAUUGAGAAUAAAGGAUGGUAUUUAGAUAGGAAUUAUAAGUCUGGGGUGGGGAAGUAAUUACUUGCAGGGUCCUGGUGCCUUCGGGAAAACUACAGGUCCGUCUGAUGAAGCAGAGAACAGAAGUGGAUGGGGCAUGAUGCACUGGCAUGGGGGGAAAAGGAUGAAUUGACGAGACAGUUAAAUCCGGAUCGGUCGAAUAAUGAACCAGGAUCGUUUUUUUUGGAACUGGCUUGUGUCAAGCUUCACAUCCUCUAACAGGUAAUUGGUUAGAUGUGCUUAUCAUUGAGGGUAGCAUACCGAGGGGAAUAAGGUGGGUUAUAUAUAUUUUUACAGUGUAGCUACAUAGAGUAGCAAUUUAAUACUUAUGCUAGAGGCUAGAAACAGGUCAAAAAAAUUUGCUGCACGCUUGCAGCAGCAGGGUGGGUGAGUCGAAGCACCCCCUUGCAUAUGCCCUUAUUGAUUGAUUGCAGCAGGAAAGCAAAGCCUAUCCUGUACCUGGAGCAUGACAGUUCUCAUGAGACUGGUAGGCCUAACAUGUUAAAUGGAGCCCAAAGAGGAAGAUGAGGAAAGUGGAACUAAGGAAGUGGGAUGCUUUAAGGUUUAAGGAAAGGGUGGGGAAAAUAAACUACUUGCAGAAUCCUGAAACAAUCGAAGCUACGGAUUAAGACCACUGAAAGAUGAAGUGGUUGAGGUGAGGCGUUGAUUGAACCACACUAGACUGAUGACAAAUACUGCCGAUUGAUGUCCAAUUUAACCGCGUACAAGUUGUGGGUGCAUCUGGUCGAGUGUCACUUCUGUAAACAGGUACUUGUCCACAUGCAAUACCAGUAAAUUGGUGAACUUAACUUUUAUCACUAAUUCAAUUUGUUGGCAUGAGUGGCAGAAUUUGCCCAGUGCAUACAGUUGGAGUGCUAAAUCUCUCCCACUUGGGUACAAUUACAUUCUCACCUGAAGGAGUCUUUAUACAAGAGACAUUGUGGUUUGUAAGAUAAAUGAUUUUUGUAAGGGUUUAUAGGGACAGGAGGGGUAACAGUACUUGCAGGGUCCUGAAGACUUCACAGAGGCCACAGUCCUUAGGUGAGCGUUGCUGUGUUCGCUGAAUGGCAGUUUGCAAGUUGGUUGAUCUUUGAAAGCGCAAGGAUUUGUGACUGGCUGGCCUCACAGGUAUUUAUUUCUGAGAUUGAUGGCAGUAUUCCAUAUUAGCUUUGUCAUUUAGAAUUUACAUUUAAAGAGCAUAUUGUGGUUUAUGUCUGUACAGUACAUUGCAGAGCACAUAUUGUUCUAAUGGCUUCAGUACUGCCUCAGCAUGAAAUUUAAGAUAUUAGUUGGACCUUAAAAGUUACAGUGCUUUUAAUGGACCAGUUGGACCUUAAAAGUUACAAUGCUUUUAAUGGACCAUAUUGGCUAUACAGGCAGUGUCACAUGUGGCCACUCAACUGACCUUUCCAUAGAGUUCAAGUUAUAGACUAGAAUGCGUCUGAGGCUGUCUCCGGAAUACACAGCCAUGGUGCCGCCAUUGCUUCAAGCCGAUGAUUGCACACACUUCACUUCUACCCAAUUUCCGUUUUUCUCCGUCGGAUAGUAGAGUCAGGAAAUCGGGUAGGGGUAAAGUGUGCAGUCGUUGGCUUGAAGCAGUGGCGGUACCAAGGCCCUGUAUCCUGGAGGCAGCCUCAGACGCAUUCUAGUACAGAACUUGAAUUCUAUGGAAAGUACUGCUUUGACAAGUCACUGACUGGCCACGUGUGGUGCUGCCUGUAUAGCCAAUACAGUCCAUUUUAAGUGCCACUGGUUGUUGGCUUCGUAGUGGGAAAACGGGGAAGGGUGUUGAUUAUCUUUAAAGACUGCCUGUUGAGCAUUGCACCGAACUUCUGCUGCUAUUAUGGUUAUCUGUUCAGCAUACCAGCAUCGUACCAUUGAACCUCCCAUCGGGUAGAACAACUGCAAAGGUAACGUGAUGUAAGUUACAAUUAAUUAGAAAUAAUACUGUUCAGCAAUUUCUAAAGGAUACUUGUUUUCACAAUUCAAAGGGAUGUAGCAAUGGUUAUAUGCCUUUCCUGGGAUGCAGAAGGGAGGAUUGGGAACGUAAUGAUUUAUUUAUAGGUGCCACAUCUAAGGAACACCCGUUUUUGGCCUGGCUUCCCUCUUGGUGGUGAAGGUUAUUCCCAAGCUAACCAGCCAUUGUUGCACCUGGAAUCGUAUAAUGGCAAGCGGCAGGGAGGUAAAUACACAAGAAAGCUAAUACUAACUUUUGACGGCAGUAGUUUAUUGGAAAUUAAUUUGCAUCUUCAAUGCGGAGAAAAGUACUAGGUAUUCCUAUGCAAUAAAUGCAAUCUUGUAGCAUUUUGGCUUUAUGGCAAUUCAAUACUAAGUGAAAGAUUAAUUGAAUAUGGCUGAGGACAGGUUACUCUAUGCACAGCUUAACUCGUUGAUAAGUUAUGCUUUGUGCUCAAUUAACAAGGUUUUAGUCUUGACACUUAGAUGAUGACUUGUUCAUGCAUGUCAGUUGAAUAAUUUUUCUGUUUUGAAUGCUUGCCAACAGUAUACAGGAUUUUCCUUCCUAAAGCACCCUGAAGGAACAUGUAAAUUGAUGCUCUACAUCAGAGGUGUCUCGUUUUAACUAGUGAGGUAUGACCAGAACUGUAUCGAUAUGGCUCUGGUCAUUUUAUAUAGUAUGGCUUGUUUCAUUGUGAAGGUUCAUUUUCAUUUGACAAUGUCUGCUCAUGGUAUGUAGUGCAUGAUGACAGGUAACUUAGCUUAGGAAACAUUAAUGAGUACUUACAGUCCGGGCUGUUGCAUCUGGUGUUUCAUACUGUGCAGUUUUACUUCAGUUAGUCUCCAGUACUGUCUGCACGUAGAGGUGAGCCACUGUGAUGCAGUUACUCAGUUUAUUAUGAAAUUUAUAAAAUGAUAGUCUGCAUUUGCCAGUUUUGCAUUAAUCUGUAAACUUGUGAAAUAAUUUUAAUAUUAGGCAAAGCCUUGCUAAGGAGCCACAUUGUUCCUCCUAACUCCCCACCCUGCUCAUGUGGGAAUUGGGGUCACAUUUAAUGGAAGACAAAACAUUAUUUUGAGGUUAGGCAUACUGUACUGAUUUAUGGUGUAUCCCUUGGCAUUUUGAAUAUGGUUUAACCUUUGAUGAAGAUUAGCUUGAGCUGAAAAGUCUUAUGCUGUGUGAGGGGGCAUGUAUGCACCUUUUUCCAAUUUGUUCAUUUGUCUAACAUUUCAUCUGGAUAUAGCACUGGCUCUGUGCAAAUGUUUUUUGAUGCUAAAUGACUUGCAUAGUUAUAAAGGAAUGAUAUCAGUUUAACAGUAAUUGUCUGCUUACUGAGUAGUAGCACUGGUGUUGGUGGUGUGCUUUCAGCUGUUGGCUUUGGCAAAUACUUGACUUUGAAAACUGGAUAAGUACAUGACACAUUAUCCCAAACAUAAGGAAUUAGUAGAUCAGUGCUAUAUAAAUUUACUUGGUAUACUCACCUUGUUUGCCACUACAAUGCCUAACAAACAACAAUUCAAGCAAAGUUCAGAUUCGGGCCGAUUUCCAUAGAUUGUAGUGAGGUUGGGGAGGGGGGGGCACAAUUCACAUGUUUCUUUUCAGGCUCGUCCUGAACUAAGGUUUCUUCUUGAAAAUACAACUUGCGUCUGAUCCAUGUUGCAGCAGGCGAGGUAAUCUUGGAGUUGCUUUGUAAUUGUUGCUACAAUGGUGUUUUGUGAAGUGUUGAUUGCAUAUUAAUUUUAUUUAGGGUUGAAAGUCUAUACAUUAAGUACGUGAGGGUGGGAGGGGGGCAAUUUGAUUUUUAUUUCCACAGUUUGAAUUUCAUCGUGAUCGUCACUUGUUCAUCGUUUACUCUUUCGUCAUAAUGAGGUAACCAGUUGUUCAGUUUAUGGAUGCAUAAAACAUUGAUAUUUUCAAUAUUAAGUGAAGAAAAGUAUAAGGAGAUUUAAAGUGAAUGUAACUUGUAAUUUAAAGCUUAAAUGGGGAGGGUGUUAAAUGUUCUACAUAUCUAAUGUGUAUUCGGAACUUCAAAAUAUCAAUCCAGCACAGAUAGGAGGGUGAGGGGCAACUAAAAGGUAUCUUUUCAGUUCCCAGAAGUUAUUGCUGUGGCUGGAUUUACCCCAUAUUAAUUGGUUAUUGCUUCAAAUAAGGUAACCAGUGUUGACAGUAUACUUCAUUUAGGAUUUAGGAGGUACAAAUCUUUCAAUGAUUGAAAAUCAUUCAAAAGCCUGUGUCAGUUUCAGUGUCAUUAACAAAAACUUUAAAUGAUCAGCACCAAUAGGAGGGAAAGAUAUUAUUCUUGGGGGUGGGGUAGAACUAAUUGUCUUUUCAGACUUUCGACUUCAUUAACGCAACAUUGCUACGAAUGAGGUAACCAGCUUUGUACUGAUGAAAAAAUACUUGACUAUCUUUUGGAAAAUUUAUCCUAAAUUUGUGGGUGCACACGGGAGGGUAAUUUUUUGAGGGGUGGGCGGGGCAACUAAGUGUUUCUUUUGAGAUUUACAGAUGUUUAUUUGUUCAUUAUUGACUACAGUAAACAUCAAUUGAGAAAAACUCCAAUUGAGGUAACUAGUAUUGUUAAUGUUCUACUUGACUUGCUUGGAUGGGACUAAUUCCUGCAUUUGGAGAUGGGGUGUGACCAUUGUUUUUCAGACUUGGGGAAUUUUCAUUUGCUCAGUAUGGUUUUAUUGUACAUUCAAUUCUCAGAAUAGUAUUGAAUGGUUAAUCCACUUGAUUUCAUUAACUGACAUCUAUUGAAUUAGCUCAGAAUCUAAUGUCUUCUGGCAUUCAGUAAUUGAAUGGAGUUCCUUUACUCAAUGAGAUUACCACUUAUUUAAUUGGUCUGAUUUACUGUGGAUUUACUAGGGAAUUCAAAUUCUAAAAGUUACGAUUAAAAUAUUUAGUAGAUCUUGCAUAGAUUUUACAUUGCUACUUUUUCUUUGGGGGGGGGGGGGCAACUAAUGCUGUCUUUUCAGGCUGGCAUGGACAUAACACUUGUUCAACAUUUGCUUUGCUCUACAUCUUUUAAUUAGUUUCUCCUAGAAGGUAACCUGUUUUCCGCCUGUGUUGAUGAUGUAUAAUUUUAUUACCAAAUUUAGUUCUGUGCUGAAAAUAUAGUUUAAAAAAAUGAACUUAUAAUUGAGAAGAUGAUUUGGGGGACAGGGGGUGUGGCAGCUAAACAUGUCUUUUCAGAAUUCUCUGGUUUCAUAAAUACAACAUAUUCACUGAACAUCCCGUAGUUGCUCCAGAUAAGGUAACUCCUGAUAAUUUUUUUCUCUGGUAUUUCAGUAGCAACAAGUUCUAUGAAUAUAACUGAAAUUUUACACAAAUAAUGGAAGGGCAACAUUUUGGGGGGUGGACGGGUGGGGGCAACUAAGUCUUGUCUUUACAAUUCUUCAGAGACAUCAUUUGCUCAGCAGUGGAUUUAUUAUUCAUCCCAUUUAUUGCUCCAAAUGAGGUAAAAGUUUCAUAUUUAAUCUCAGUUUUAGAUUCCCAGUAACUUAAAUAACAUGAAGAUUGAGAACUCAAAGGAUUCUGUUUAGUAUGUAAAAAAAAUAAUAAUUUCACAAGUUUUAGUAUGAUCAAACUAUCAUGCUCUUUAUGGAUUUUGUUGACGAUCAAACUGCCUCAUUAAAUAAAUUUUUAACUACCACAUUAAAGCAGUUAAUUGAUUUUGAAUUUAAAUAACUAAAUGUUGGUAGUAGAUAGGUAGGAUGUUUAUUUGUAGGUGCUUGAGGAGUAGAGGAUGCAGCAUUCGGUGGGAAAAGUAGCACCAUUUGGCCAAUGACUUCAGUGUUAAUAAGAUUUGCACUACCUACAUUCAGUGAAGAUUCUUGACCUACAUUGUUAGGUGUUCUUUUAUUGUUGAAAAUAGUACUGCUUAUAUAUAAAUAAGUUUGUAAUGGUAAAGAUUUAAAUAAUGUUACAGGAACUAUAUUAUUGCUAUUACUAUGUGAUGGUAGUUAAAAGACAAGCAUGAGAUACUUAAACUUGCCUGUGAAUAUGAUGUUAAUGAUGUCAUGUUGCCAUACAUUGCAUAUAGAAAUAUUCAGUUGCUUUGGAAGUUGCCCAUUUGUUAUUGGGAAAAAAAACUCAAGCAUUUAGGAAAAAAACAUUAUCAUAAACACUGUGAACUUAGAGGAAAUGGAGCUUUGAAUUAUCAUAUUUGUUCAUAUCAAGUUUAUCAUUGUCAUAUAGACUGAUAAUUCAGUUGCUGGUCACUCUUCUCUCAGCUGUAUAGUGGCUAUCAAGAAGAGUGGGAAAGUGGGUGGGGCAUUUCCUCUAAGUAAAAAUUAAGUAAUUUAUAAACUAGCAUCGUUCAAGGAAUGUGUCACCGGCAUCAUCUUCAGGAGCAUUUAUCUAGUCUAGGAUUGUAUUGAAGGGGAGGUAGCUGAAGGACUGAUUAGCUGAAGGACUGAUAGUUAUCGUCAAGGAGAGGGAGAGAAGAUGAAAUCUAGCAUUAUAGCUGUCUGAUAUCCAUUAUAUUAAGGUAA